RNAcentral lists this small RNA (292 nucleotides) under Arabidopsis thaliana (thale cress). RNAcentral describes it as "ATSL092030". The record is from RNAcentral. Lineage: Eukaryota; Viridiplantae; Streptophyta; Magnoliopsida; Brassicales; Brassicaceae.
UUUCUGUAUAUGAUGUGAUUCAAAUUUUUUAAAACGGACAUAUAUUAUUCAAUCGAUGAAGAAAUAAUAUGUGUACAAUAUCUCAUAUCGCUUAAAAAAUUGGACAAUGAAUCAUACUACAAAAAAGACCAAAAUGAUUAUGAAUACGAGUGAAUAAGAAACUUGAGUUCUUAGACGGCCAAAACUAAAAGUGUUCGGUUUACUCCGGUUCAUUAUGUCAAAAAUGGAAACUUUUAAAAAGUUUCAAAAUAUUAUAUAUAUUUAAAUUUUAUUUAAAGUAAACUAUUAUAAC